UUUCUGAAGAUGAAAGGAAAGGAAGAGUCCAGAGUGGAUUGGAAAAUGGAGACUCUGCCACACAGCAAGCAGAUGGACUCCAGCAGUUGUGGAGUUUUAGUGUUGAAGUUUGCCGAACACUACCUUAUGAGUGGAGAGGUUACUAGGGUGCUGUCCACUCCAGAAGCCAUUGGGCUGCAACGCACAGAAAUUGCUUGCGAACUGCUAGAACAUCAAAGUAAUGCUGAUGACUACUGUGUGGUUUGUUCCAUGCUGGAAGCCGAUCCUGAGACCAGUAUGAUUGAAAUGGUAAAACAAAUAAACCACAAAUGCAAUAUACAGUUACUUGCAACAUUAUUCGGCCCCCUUGAACUU
Pelmatolapia mariae (spotted tilapia) is the source of this 354-nucleotide long non-coding RNA. RefSeq lists it as uncharacterized. NCBI's taxonomy places the organism in Eukaryota, Metazoa, Chordata, Actinopteri, Cichliformes, Cichlidae. The record is from RefSeq and is a predicted model, not a curated record. The transcript is spliced from 3 exons.